RNAcentral lists this ribosomal RNA (396 nucleotides) under uncultured bacterium. RNAcentral's name for it is "partial 16S ribosomal RNA". It matches the Rfam family "Bacterial small subunit ribosomal RNA", at positions 338 to 732 of the family's 1533-position model. The record is from RNAcentral.
CCUACGGGAGGCAGCAGUGAGGAAUCUUGGUCAAUGGCCGAGAGGCUGAACCAGCCACGCCGCGUGAGGGAAGAAUGUCCUAUGGAUUGUAAACCUCUUUUGUCAGGGAGCAAAGUCACCCACGUGUGGGUGUUGGAGAGUACCUGACGAAAUAGCAUCGGCAACCCCCGUGCCAGCAGCCGCGGUAAUACGGGGGCUGAGAGCGUUAUCCGGAUUUAUUGGGUUAAAAGGGUGCGAAGGCGGGUUAUCAAGUCAGCGGUAAAAUCGUGGACCGCAACUCCGUCCAGCCGUUGAGACUGCUGAUCUAGAGUGAGCGAGAGGGAUGCGGAAUGCGUGGUGUAGCGGUGAAAUGCGUAGAUAUCAGGCAGAACACCGGUGGCGAAGGCAGCAUACUGG